This 1355-nucleotide ribosomal RNA is filed under the name metagenome. Its description in RNAcentral is "SSU rRNA". It matches the Rfam family "Eukaryotic small subunit ribosomal RNA", at positions 389 to 1801 of the family's 1831-position model. The record is from RNAcentral.
AGGGAGCAUGAGAAACGGCUACCACAUCUAAGGAAGGCAGCAGGCGCGUAAAUUACCCAAUCCUGACUCAGGGAGGUAGUGACAAGAAAUAGCAAACCGGGAACCUCAUGGUUUCACGGUAUUGCAAUGAGAACAAUUUAAAACCCUUAGCGAGAAUCAAGUGGAGGACAAGUCUGGUGCCAGCACCCGCGGUAAUUCCAGCUCCACUAGCGUAUAUUAAAGUUGUUGCAGUUAAAAAGCUCGUAGUUGAACCUCUGUCUGGGGCUAGUUUUGGCUUUGGUCAGGCUAGUUCUAGGCAUCCGCCUACAAGACUUAGAGGGCAUUCAGUUGUUCACUAGGAGGAGUAGGCAUUUUACUUUGAAAAAAUUAGAGUGUUUAAGGCAGGCAAUCGCCCGCAUAUAUUAGCAUGGAAUAAUAGAAUAGGACACUUUUCCAUUUCGUUGGUUAUUGGAAUCGUGUAAUGAUUAAUAGGGACAGUUGUGGGCAUUUGUAUUUAAUUGUCAGAGGUGAAAUUCUUGGAUUUAUUAAAGACAAACUAACGCGAAAGCAUUUGCCAAGGAUGUUUUCAUUAAUCAAGAACGAAAGUUAGGGGAUCAAAGACGAUCAGAUACCGUCCUAGUCUUAACUAUAAACCAUUCCGACUCAAUGUUUGACUGGCUUAUAUAACCAGUUGAGCGUUGUAUGAGAAAUCAAAGUCUUUAGGUUCUGGGGGGAGUAUGGUUGCAAAGCUGAAACUUAAAGGAAUUGACGGAAGAGCACAACCAGGAGUGGAUUCUGCGGCUUAAUUUGACUCAACACGGGGAAACUUACCAGGUUAAAACAAUAGUGGGAUUGACAGUUUGAGAGCGCUUUCUUGAUUGGUUGGGUGGUGGUGCAUGGCCGUUCUUAGUUGGUGGAGUGAUUUGUCUGCUUAAUUGCGUUAACGAACGAGACCUUAACCUGCUUACUAGACUGGCGAUCAUCAAUCGUUAGCUCUUCUUAGAGGGACUUUGGUUGUUUUAACUCCAAGGAAGUUUGAGGCAAUAACAGGUCUGUGAUGCCCUUAGAUAUCCUGGGCCGCACGCGUCAUACAAUGACUAGUUCAGAAAGUUUUCUCCUGACCCGAAAGGGGAUGGGUAAUCUUGAUAAUACUAGUCGUGUUAGGGAUCGAUCUUUGCAAUUAUAGAUCUUGAACGAGGAAUUCCUAGUAAGUGCGGUUCAUCAGACCGUACUGAUUACGUCCCUGCUCUUUGUACACACCGCCCGUCGCUUCUACCGAGUGGGUGGUCCGGUGAGAUAAUUGAACUUCGCAGGUAACUGAGAGGAAAGAUUAUCAAACCUAUCCACCUCGAGGAAGAAGAAGUCGUAACAAGGUU